RNAcentral lists this long non-coding RNA (8405 nucleotides) under Nicotiana tabacum (common tobacco). RNAcentral's name for it is "long non-coding RNA (NTAB_LNC001687)". Lineage: Eukaryota; Viridiplantae; Streptophyta; Magnoliopsida; Solanales; Solanaceae. The record is from RNAcentral.
AGGAAUUCAGUAUUGACUAUUAGAGUAUUCAAGUACUAAUUGAUGAGUGGAAUGAGCGACAGAAAUUGGUUGAACAAUCUGAUCAACUAGUCAGAUAAUCAGAAUUAGAACCUUCCAGUAUAAACAUCAGAAGGUUGUAAAGCAGCCAGGGCAGAAACUACAUACAUGCUACCUACCAACUGAAAAGAUGUCAAAGAGUAUUUCAUCUAUCUCUGAGGUUCGCAAAAAAGGGGGUAAACAGGGCGUCUGUGUUUCGUGCAAACUAGAUAGCCGAGUUCACGAGAGGUUUGUCUCUACAAAGUUAAGGCAAUCCCAAAUAUUUGUAAGUUUCUCAUAAUCUCUUUUUAUGAGUUAAAUUUCAUUGAUUUAGUGGGAAAAUCCAACAUAGAAGAUGUAUGCAAAAGGUAGAAAAAGCAUAUAUAUAUUUUUUUUAGAUGCACUCCAUGAAUUUAAUAUCUGAAGAACAAAAAUACUCCAUUUACUAAAAAUCCUAUAAGAAAGCAUGUGUCUUUACGAAUAGUUCUGAUUGAGAUUUGGUGGCAAGGAGAUGAUGCCACCAUAGAAGUUGUAUACGGUCGAAAUAGAUUUCGGCCUUCGCUCGUCCGAUCGAGUUCGAACGAUGAUCUAUCGAAGUAAGAUCUCGAAGGUGGAACAAACUAACCUCGAACCCGGGGGGCCGAGCCGUGUCAAGUUCGACAUCAUUAUCAAGCUCGAAUCCAAAUUGAACCAUGCUGCAAAGUAGAUCUAUCAUGCUUAUAAUCCAGAGACCAACCAACAUUGACCUCGAAUCAAUUCGAGAGCUCGAGCCAAGAUCGUGCUUGAACCAAGAUCAAGAGCUCGAGUCGAGAUCGAGCUCAAACCAAAAUCGAGGGCUCUAAGCAAGAUCGAGCUCAAACCAAAAUCAAGAGCUCUAAGCAAAAUCGAGCUCGCAGACAAAAGUCGUCGCAAUCCCACUAGAGAGAAUCUUGGCAGAAAUUGUGAAAAAACUGACUUAUCAUGGGUCUCCCACUGAAUGUUUAUUUUAUUAUGCUUAGAGCUAAAUCCCUCCACUAUAAAAGGGCUUGGUUACCAUUUCUGGAGGACAAGUUUUCCUCAGGCUUACAUUGUAAUAAAAACGCUAUAUUCUUCUACAGUAAAGAAUCGUUCUUUUAGAUUUCUUAAAUUGAUUCUAUUUGUUGAGUCCUAAGAUUCAUUAAUCCUUACAACCUUAUCUACUUCGCAUUCUCUGCAAUUCAUAUUUACAUUUUUAUUUAUCCAUAUAAUUUGUAUUAAGUUACGCCACAUAUCCUCAAAAUUACGCAUAAAUUCAACUCUAUCCAUUUUUCGGAUAAACAGUUUUGCGCCCACCGUGGGGCCGAGGAUAACAGUGGUUAUUUGAUACAAAUCUAAAAAGACACGCCAUUGUGCUUUGCGCUUAUUUCCGAAAACAUCUUGAAUCUCGGAUCAGCUACGAAUAACCAUCAAUCAAAUAGCUUCACCGAUCGAUAACGGGGCCAGUCUUCAAGACGAAAAUAACAACUUGACACCCAGUACUGAAAGAUCACUUGUGAACACCGUUGGAGCUCGAAUCGGAGCGCCAAUUGAUAUCAAUUCGCAUGUAGCCAUUGAGGCGAACCUACAUGCUGAACCCGAGAAUAUCAUCCAUGGUGGAACUCGGUCUACGGUUCGAGAUACUCAUAACGUCGAGGAAAACGGUGUUAGCUUGCGUAUGAUUUUCGAAAUGUUGCAACCCCAACAUGUAGUAAUAGCCCACUUGCAAAGCCAAACCCAGCUACAAAGCAGGCCGGAGCCCAAUCCACCCCGAGAAAUCACCCACAGAACGGAACCAGUCAUAGUGAAGUCAAAUGAGAAAGAAUCGGGGACUACUCCCGAAAUUGCUAAAUUGCUCGAGGAACUCACAAAGCGAGUCGAAACCAACGAUAAAAAAGUAAAAACUUAUAAUUCUAGGGUCGAUCAGAUCCCAGGAGCUCUACCAAUGAUAUAAGGGCUGGAUUCAAAAAAUUUCAUACAAAUGCCUUUUCCCUCGAGUGCGGCCCCAAAACCAAUCCCCAAAGAAUUCCGUAUGCCCGAAAUUCUCAAAUAUAACGGUACGACAGAUCCUAACGAAUACGUCACCUCUUACACAUUUNNNNNNNNNNNNNNNNNNNNNNNNNUCGAAGGGAGGAAUGAUCUGGUAUCACAAUCUACCGCCAAAUUCCAUCGAUUCUUUUGCCAUGUUAGCAGAUUCGUUCGUAAAGGCACAUGCUGAUGCCAUAAAGGUUGCAACAAGAAAAUCAGACCUUUUCAAAGUAAAGCAAAGGGGUAAUGAAAUGCUGAGAGAAUUCGUAUCCCGAUUUCAAAAGGAACGCAUGGAAUUUCCACCGGUCACAGACGAUUGGGCCGUACAAGCUUUCACCUAAGGGUUGAACGAGCAAAGUUCGACAACAUCACGUCGGCUGAAGCAAAAUUUGAUCGAGUAUCCAGCAAUAACUUGGGCAGAUAUACACAACCGAUAUCAAUCGAAAAUUAGGGUCGGAGAUGACCAGUUGGGAGCUCCAUAUGGACCCAUGCAUCAGAACAGGACAGCUACUAAAAACCAAAGGGAGAUCGACAGAGAACAAAGGUUGAAUAGAGACCGAUAUCAACCGUACGUCGCAGAUCGGAUGAACAACGGUUCAACACACAAUACAGUUCGGAACAAUCGAAGGAUUGAUCGAGGGCAAAAUUCUCGGGGACUUAUGAGCAAGAGCGGCUUUGAUAAAUAUGCCGAUCCUAUAGAAGCACCUCGGUUAUCAGAGUAUAACUUCAGCGUUGAUGCAUCUGCCAUCGUGUCGGCUAUCGGACGCAUCAAAGACACUAAAUGGCCUCGACCCAUGCAGACCGAUCCUGCCCAAAGGAAUCCCAAUCAAAUGUGCGAAUAUCAUGGCACCCAUGGCCACAGAACGGAAAAUUACAGGAAACUAAGAGAGGAAGUAGCCCUCUUAUUUAACAAAGGGCACCUUCGGAAAUUUCUGAGUGACAGGGCGAAGAACCAUUUUAAAAACAGGGAUUUCGGCAAGCAAAACGAGUAAGAAGAACCGCAACACGUCAUUCACAUGAUCAUCGGCGACGCCGAUACCCCUCAGGGACCAGUGCUUAAACGCACUAAAAUAUCGAUUGUGAGGGAAAAGCGGUCUCGAACUCAAGAUUACGCACCCAUAGGGACUUUGUCCUUCGAUGAUGAAGAUGCAGAAUGAGUCAUUCAACCUCAUAACGAUGCACUGGUAAUAUCCGUACUCAUGAAUAAAACUAAAGUUAAGCGUGUGUUGAUCGAUCGAGGUAGCUCGGCCAACAUCAUCAAAUUGAAGGUCGUAGAACAGCUCGGCCUGCAGGACCAGAUCGUACCCGCAACUCUGGUUCUAAACGGAUUCAAUAUGGCAUGUGAAACCACCAAAGGUGAGAUAAUUCUACCAAUAAACGUGGCCGGAACCAUCCAGGAAACGAAGUUUCACGUGAUCGAAGGUGACAUGAGAUACAACACCCUUUUCGGAAGGCCAUGGAUCCAUAACAUGAGAUCUGUACCUUCGACCCUACACCAGGUCCUCAAAUUCCCAACAUCGAGAGGUGUCAAAACAGUGUACGGAGAACAACCAGCCGCAAAAGAAAUGUUCAUCGUCGAGGAAGCGAAAUCAAUAUCCUCGCCUUCGCCAAUAAAGGGAUCGGGCUCAGAAGGAGAACGGGACGCCAAAUAGCAAUCACAGAUGUCGGCUUCGACCCAGCCAGAUAACCAGAAGAUCGAAGAAGAUGAUGAUCAAAGGGUCCCUCAAUCUUUCAUGAUUCCCGAUGACUCCGACGCCACCAAAUCAACAAUUGAGGAACUAGAGCAAGUCACACUAAUUGAGCACUGGCCCGAGCGAAAGGUAUACUUGAGAACGGGGUUGAGCCCCGAACUCAGAAAGAAACUUGUUUAAUUUCUUAUCGAUAACAUUGAUUGUUUUGCCUGGUCCCAUUUAGAUAUAACAGGGAUCCCACCGGACAUAACGACGUAUCGGCUGAGCUUGAACCCUAAGUUCAGACCGGUGAAGCAAAAGAGAAGACCCCAGUCCGAGGAAAAGCACGCAUUCAUAAAGGACGAGGUAACCAAACUUCUCAAGAUAGGGUCUAUUCGGGAGGUGAAAUAUCCUGAAUGGUUAGCCAAUGUAGUUGUAGUGCCUAAAAAAGAGAACAAACUUAGAAUGUGUGUGGACUAUAAGGAUUUGAACAAAGCAUGCCCCAAAGAUUCCUUUCCGCUUCCCAACAUCGAUCGCAUGAUCGAUGCCACGGCCGGCCACGAGAUCCUCACUUUUCUCGAUUCCUAUUCCGGGUAUAAUCAAAUCUAGAUGAACCCGGAGGACCAGAAAAGGACUUCAUUUGUCACCAAAUAUGGAACAUAUUGUUAUAAUGUGAUGCCCUUUAGGCUAAAAAAUGCAGGGACUACUUACCAACGCCUAGUAAAUAAAAUGUUCGAAGAACAAAUAGGUAAAUCAGUGGAAGUUUAUAUUGAUGAAAUGCUAGUUAAGUCCCUGCGCGCAGAGGACCAUUUGACCCAUUUGCAGGAAAAGUUCGAGAUUUUGAGAAAAUAUAACAUGAAGCUCAACCCCGAAAAAUGUACUUUCGGGGUCGCUUCGGGCAAGUUCCUCGGUUUCAUGGUGUCAAAUCGGAGAAUCGAGAUUAACCCCGAUAAAAUCAAGGCCAUCGAAUACAUCACCAUCGUGGACAGCGUGAAAGCUGUACAAAGGCUAACGGGACGGAUUGCAUCCUUAGGCCGAUUCAUUUCUAGAUCAUCAGAUCGAAGUCACAAUUUUUUCUCUCUACUCAAAAAGAUGAACGAUUUCGCUUGGACCCCGGAAUGCCAACAAGCAUUAGAGGAACUAAAACGAUAUCUAUCGAGCCCACCACUACUUCACACUCCAAAAAUUGAUGAAAAUAUUUGCUUGUACUUGGCAAUAUCGGAAAUCGCCGUAAGCGGUGUCCUAGUUCGAGAAGAGCAAGGUACGCAAUUUCUCGUGAAGGGGUCCGGGCUAGGCAUAGUUUCGAAACCACCCACGGGUAGCACUAUUAGACAAUCUAUUAAAACUACCAGGUUGACCAACAACGAGGCAGAGUAUGAUGCCAUGAUUUCAGGUCUCGAGUUAGCUAAACACUUGGGAGCAGAAGUCAUUGAAGCCAAAUAUGACUCCUUGCUGGUGGUAAGUCAAGUAAACAAAACCUUCGAAGUUCGAGAGGAUAGAAUGCAACGGUAUUUGGAUAAAUUACAUUUCACUUUGUACCAUUUCAAACAAUGGACGUUACAACAUAUUCCACGAGAGCAAAACAGUGAGGCUGAUACACUUGUAAAUUUGGGAUCGUCUGUCGAGGAAGGUGACUUGAGCUCGGGGACUGUCGUUCAACUCUCAAGAUCAGUAAUCGAAGAAGGUCACGCUGAGAUAAAUUUUACAAGCUUAAUCUGGGAUUGGAGAAAUAAGUAUAUUGAAUACUUAAAGAGCGGAAAGCUCCCAUCGGACCCUAAAGAUUCUAGGGCCCUACGAACUAAAGCUGCUCGAUUCACUUUGGCUUCGGAUGGAACGCUAUAUCGAAGGACAUUCGACAGACCAUUGGCAGUAUGCUUGGGUCCAGGAGAUACUGAUUACAUCCUACGGGAAGUGCACGAGGGCACUUGUAGGAAUCACUCUGGUGCCGAUACAUUAGUUUGAAAAAUAAUCAGAGUAGGGUAUUAUUGGAUCGAUAUGGGCAAAGAUGCAAAAGAAUUUGUUCGAAAAUGUAACAAAUGUCAAAAGUUUGCGCCAAUGAUCCAUCAACCCGGGGAGCAACUUCACUCAGUCCUAUCCCCAUGGCCGUUCAUGAAAUGGGGAAUGGAUAUCGUCGACCCUCUGUUUACCCGAAAAAUGGAUAAAGUUGAAUUUAUGCGUAGUUCUGAGGAUAUGUGGUGUAACUUAAUACAAAUUGUAAGGAUAAAUAGAAAUGUAAAUAUGAAUUGCAGAGAAUGCGAAGUAGAUAAGGUUGUAAGGAUUAAUGAAUCUUAGGACUCAACAAAUAGAAUCAAUUUAAGAAAUCUAAAAGAACGAUUCUUUACUGUAGAAGAAUAUAGCGUUUUUAUUACAAUGUAAGCCUGAGGAAAACUUGUCCUCCAGAAAUGGUAACCAAGCCCUUUUAUAGUGGAGGAAUUUGGAUCUAAGCAUAAUAUAAUAAACAUUCAGUGGGAGAACCAUGAUAAGCCAGCUUUUCCACAAUUUCUACCAAGAUUCUCUCUAGUGGGAUUGCAACAGUUUUUGUCUGCGAGCUCGAUCUUGCUUAGAGCCCUCGAUUUUGGUUCAAUUUCAAUAUCAUUAUCAAGAUCGAAUCCAAAUUGAACCAUGCUACAUAGUAGAUCUUUCAUGCUUAUAAUCCAGAGACCAACCAACAUUGACCUUGAAUCAAUUCGAGAGCUCGAGCCAGGAUCAGGCUUGAACCAAGAUCAAGAGUUCGAGUCGAGAUCGAGCUCAAACCAAAAUCGAGCUCAAACCAAAAUCGAGAGCUUUAAGCAAAAUCGAGCUCACAGACAAAAGCCGUUGCAAUCCCACUAGAGAGAAUCUUGGCAGAAAUUAUGGAAAAAUCUGACUUAUCAUGGGUCUCCCACUGAAUGUUUAUUAUAUUAUGCUUAGAGCCAAAUCCCUCUACUAUAAAAUGGCUUGGUUACCAUUUCUGGAGGACAAGUUUUCCCCAGGCUUACAUUGUAAUAAAAACGUAUAUUCUUCUACAGUAAAGAAUUAUUUUUUCAGAUUUCUUAAAUUGAUUCUAUUUAUUGAGUCCUAAGAUUCAUUAAUCCUUACAACCUUAUCUACUUCGCAUUCUCUGCAAUCCAUAUAUGCAUUUCUAUUUAUCCUUACAAUUUGUAUUAAGUUACGCCAUAUAUCCACAGAACUACGCAUAAAUUCAACUCUAUCCAUUUUUCGGGUAAAUAAAAGUAUACUAGAGUGUUCGAAAACUAUAGCCAUUAGUGCAGCCUGAAAUAGAAGCUUGAAUUCGAUAAAUUUUCGCUAAAGAAACAAUUGUGGGAAUGUUUUUGUUCUAACUUAGAGGUUGUGUAAAUAAUUGAAUAAAUAAGGGAAAUAAAUUUAGUAGUGGGUCAAAAAACAUGAAGGGUUAGAAGGCGGCGUUGCACCUAUCUUAAAAUAAUUAUUUUUCUACAUUUUCGAUUUCCCCCUUUUUCUUGUUUGAAAUCUCAAAAAGUCUCUCAUAUCGAGUUUAGACUAAACUGGUAUUAGAUAACUGUUCAACUUUUUCUCUACACUUUGCACUUUUGUAUUCUGCUUGCAACGAUAUAUGCAUAUAACUUAGCUACAACAUUGUAAUGAUAAGAGAAAGCCUUUUUUUCCCCAGCAAAAUUAUAAUGCCAUUUUGGGCACAAUGUUCGACAACAAUGUCGUAAAAUGUUGAUUAUAGUUUCAUGUAGAUUACUAUCUCCUUCCUUUUUCUUCCUUGCACUUCCAUAGAGAAAUAUCCCAACUCUUUCUUUUCUUUCUCUUAAUACCUGAGGGUAAAUUUCCUCUUUCUUAGUUUAAAUUUUUGUCAUUUUCUUUCAUGUUUGGUGAGUGUAUGAUGUAUCUCUGUAUUUUAAACUUUUAAAUAGGAGAAAAAUAACUCGCAUGAUGACUUAUAAUCUGUUGCAAUUUUUGUUUGGUGGAUUAUGCUACCUUUCUGCCUUUUUGGGUGUUUGACAUUUAAAUAAAACAUAAAGACAGUUCAUAUGAUGAUCGGUUCGUAUAGAGUUCAAGUUAAAUUUAAACUCAUUGUGUAAAUGUCUAUGGUUCUUUAUUAUCUUUAAUAUGUUUUUAUGUAGUAUAUGCAAAGUUGGGGCAAAUAUUGAGCUUUGCUUUUCUUUUUUUUGGAGGCUUGGAACAUGAUAAGUAGGGAUUUUGACUACUUAUUUGCACUCUUUUACUUUCGUUCUAGCUCAAAAUUGCUUAAAGAUAUUCCCGAAAACUGAUGAAAUAUGCUUUCUUGUAGGAGUGUUGGAAUAUGAGUCAAAGAGAUGAAAAUUAACUCAAGAAGGAGUAAUUUUGGAUAAGGACCAAAACAAAGCUAAAAGGGCAAAAUGCGGACCGCACAAUAUUGAGUGCGGCCGCAGAACAGGAGGAAGCCUCUGGCAAAAUUUCCAUGCAAAGUGCGGACCGCACAAUUAUUGUAUGGCCGCAGAAGAUGAGGUUCAGAGAUGUGCGGUCCGCAGAAGUCUUGCAUGUCCAAGCUAAAAUUCGAGAGUGCGACCGCACUCAGAAAUAUGUGGACCGUGGAAUUUGAAGAAGUGUGGCCGCAACCAAGAAUUGUGCGGCCGCAGAAGUCUAUCAUGUCAAGCUAGUGUCAAAGUGCAGACCACACACAUAAUUGUGGGGCCGCAGAAUCUCCGCAUGGGCAGUUUUGUCUGAUAAUUU